AUGCCAUGGUGUGGGCAUUUCAUUAACAUCUAUUUAAACCUCUCCCACGCAUUAUGAACAACUUUAUCGUCCAUUUGUUUAAAAAAGACAGAUUUCAUUUUUAGACUU
This is a small nucleolar RNA of Cynara cardunculus var. scolymus (artichoke), 108 nucleotides long. Lineage: Eukaryota; Viridiplantae; Streptophyta; Magnoliopsida; Asterales; Asteraceae. The record is from RefSeq and is a predicted model, not a curated record.